GACUUACAGACAGCUUGUGUAACUCUUCAGCAGCGAAAUAUGAUGCCUCACCAGCAGCUUACACACGCUUUAGCUUUCUAGAUAGAUAGAUAGAUAGAUAGAUAGAUAGAUAUAUAGAUAGAAUAUUCUCAGCUUGCAAAAAUAUGUAAUUGUCAGCAACUACUAAUGAAAGCUCUUUUGUGCAUCUGAUGUGGUUGGAAAAGGUCAUAAAAAUGAAUGGGCGAAUGUAGAACCAGAUAAAAGGAAAUGUUCGACAGGAUCAGUUCGCGGGAAACUUCCGGUUGACCAGUGUGUGUGUGUGUGUGUGUGUGUGUGCAACGUGUGCAGCUUGAACUGGUGGGUGCACAAGAGCACGUCAUUUUCGCGGUAAUAUCUUGCAACUGGCAAUGCAACAACAACAGCGCUCUGCAGAAGAGUCGGAUUAUGAAAAUGUUUGUAAAAACAUGGCAACGUAGUUUUUUAACCUUUUUAGCACUGUGUUGGACCUCCUUUAAGGCGAUGGUUUGCAGUAAAGUGAGAGGGGGAAACUUUAAAAGGUAAGUAGCUUUUAUGAAACUAUAGCGUUUCCCUCCAUUUUUAUCUUUAUAACAAAAAAUAAUAUUGUACUUGCAGCCAUUACGAACAUACAGCAGUUCGGGUUAUUUAUAGUACUUUAUUGGUUAUUAUAAUCUAGUUUUAUAUUAGACUAAUUACAAGUAUUUAAUUUAUGUGCACCUCGUGUUUCUGCCAAAUCGACGUUAGGUAGCAUAUAAAUUACAAUUAUAUAUUGUUUAAUACAUCAGAAAUUCGGUCAGAACAAAUGUUAGUUUUUAGUAUAAUUACACUCAAACAACUAACGUUAAAUUAAUUUUGUUAACGAUUUAUUGUGUGAGGCGAUCUGGUACAGACUCCUCCUCCUGACGGUACAGACACGUCAGAGGGGGGCGUUCGUUCGCUGUUCGCGGGAAAUCCAAAUGCGUUCGUGUUGUGAUUCUAGACAAAACGAAACACCGAACUUUAAACAACAAAUAGGAAUGAAAUUCAGUAUGGAAAGCAGCAACACAGCUAUAAUAUUUGGAUUUUUAUGGUGGCUUCUAAGAAUAGCCGGGAGAUUCCUGUGCUGCUGUGGACAUGACAACUCUGAAGUUCAGCUCUCAGUUGAAGAAACGGCGCCAUUUCUUGAUGUAAGCACUGUACGACCAUGGGAUUAUGGUAAAGGUGGAGGUAUUAUCAGGACGGUUUAGACAGAACACUUGGAUCAAGAUUAAGAAAAGGCUUUAAGUUUAGCAUUUAUACGAUGGAGGAUUGGCACCCUUGAAAUCAUUGUUUCCCCAGCCAGAUCUGUUGCUAAUUCCCGAGAUGAGCUGAUGUCAAGGUGGGGCAGAGUUACUGACACUCUCACCCCAGUUUUAAAUAAGGAGCUCUGGACCUACAUUUGGUUUGGUCCAUGCAAAGCAGCAUUAGCAUAAUCUUACCUGUUUAAUGGUAAUAGGGAGCCCUGCCACAUGUUGUCGCUAAGAUUUAAUUUGACCCACAGUGUUGAGAUUUUUAAUGUCAAAUGAAUUCAGUCACUCAUUCAUUUCUUCUUCAUCAUAAGCAAGAAUAUCAGGGCUGGCAUACAGCACACAAUUGCGAGUGUGAUAUUCCUUUAAUACCAAAGUUCAAUAACAGUAUUUUAAAGACCAGUACGUAAGAAUAUUUCUUCUUUCAAAGAAAAUAGUUCCAAAAGAAUCAAAAGCAUCAAGCUUCCAAAUUAUGCAGACAGAAAAAGUUGUUGAUCAGCGUCAUGGUACCAUCAAAGCAGGAUUGGAUUGGUUUGGUUUUGUCAACUCAAAAAUAAUUCUGUAACCCUGAGUUUGUUCAGCCACCAUCCUGGUACAAGCCCCUGGCGUCCCCCACCUUGAGUUUGUGGAGGAUUUGUGUAAAGGUGUGAAACGUUACUAAUGUCAAAUGUUAUUGUUUUUUAAAAUAAAAGUCAUAUUUAUGUUACA
Cyprinus carpio (common carp) is the source of this 1970-nucleotide long non-coding RNA. The record is from Ensembl. Lineage: Eukaryota; Metazoa; Chordata; Actinopteri; Cypriniformes; Cyprinidae.